Molecule: unclassified non-coding RNA, 506 nt
Filed under: Hevea brasiliensis (rubber tree)
Lineage: Eukaryota; Viridiplantae; Streptophyta; Magnoliopsida; Malpighiales; Euphorbiaceae
Source: RNAcentral
GCAUCAUUUCAAUCCAUAUAUGAAAUUAUCAACCAGAAGGAAAAACAUAAAAAUUAUGUAACUUGUGCUGUCCACCAGACAACUAAAUAAACAAAGGGGAAAAGCAGCAAUGCCCAGUAAUAAAAUAGGUAUUUUGAUUUGUUCUAGCCAUAUUAUGCUACCAUCAUUGAAACUGUACUGCAGAAGUGCGAAGGAGCAACAGUUUGUUGAGUGGCAUGAUAUAAAAUAAGCAAAAUUAUCACAUGAACUUGUUGGCAAACCAUGAUUGGCAAAAACCAAAAAAGUCUUUAAGAGUGAAAGACAACUGAGAAAACAAAAUCCCAAAAUUAUAAUUGAAAAAUUAAAGACCAAAACUGGAAUCACCAUUGCAUUCGUCAGAAUUCUCCUAACAUGUAUAGAAACGGAUAGAUAGAUACAAAGGCAAAGCAUGAUAAAUAAAGAAAAACCCAGAAGAGGAGGAAAAGGCAAAAAAAUUGGAUUACUUUUCACGGAUAUAGGCCACGGGG